Molecule: long non-coding RNA, 666 nt
Filed under: Helianthus annuus (common sunflower)
Lineage: Eukaryota; Viridiplantae; Streptophyta; Magnoliopsida; Asterales; Asteraceae
Source: RNAcentral
AGAUACCCUCCCCUACCUCUCGAUCCCUCUCCAGUGAUGACCACAGACAGUCCGGCGGCCCCUCAGGUCGUCAUUACUGCCGGCGACAAGCACACACACUCCCUCGAACCCUACCACUCCCGUUCUCCUCUCCCUCUCCCUCGCCGUCAACGAUGACGAGGAUUAUUUCCGGCGACCAGUUUCGCCGACGACGGUGGUGGUGUCCCCGACGAGACUUCCGAUGGUUCGUGUUCGCAUUGUUGCGGAUUCGGGUGUUUGGUUCGAGUCAACUUGGUUAAACCGAGUUAACUCGGUUCGGGUCUGGGUCAAACAGUCAAGGCAGUCAACACAAGUCAAAGGCGGUCAACGGGACGGCUCGGGUCAGCUUUGGUAUUCUUGGAGCAACUCGGUUCAGUCAAGUUCGGCUUAUUUUGGUUCGGUCAACAGAAGUCAAACCUGGUCAACUUAGCUUUGGUUUUAGUUGACUCGGUCAAACCAAGUCAACUCGGUCAAACACGGUCAGCCCGAGUCAACUCAAUUGACUCGGUCAACUCAGUUAGCGUUUUCGACAUGAGGAUUUGGUAAAGAUUUUACGGCCGUUUAUUUAGUUAUUUUCAUAGUUUAUAUCACGUGAAACGAGCUCUCAAAACCGGAUUGAUUAAGGAAACGUUAUAAAUGAAUUUAAUG